This 469-nucleotide unclassified non-coding RNA is filed under the name Hevea brasiliensis (rubber tree). Lineage: Eukaryota; Viridiplantae; Streptophyta; Magnoliopsida; Malpighiales; Euphorbiaceae. The record is from RNAcentral.
CCUCUCUCUCUCUCUCUCCCCCUCCCCCUGCGAGGUGUAUGCCUGACGAUUAUAGCAGAGGAAGAACAAGGAAGAAAGGAAAGAAAGAGACAGAGCAAGGAAAGAAGCAGAGCACCUGCAGCGGAGAAUGGGGGUGAUGAUUUGUAUCGUUGUUUAGAGGGUAGCCUGGCCAGCAAGAUUGGGCUUAUGCUUGUGGACACGAAACGAAAAGCAAACAAUAUUUUUCUUCUUUCGAGUUGGUUUUGUGGGGGAAAAUGUGCUAUGACUAAUGACUUGCAUAUGUAUCCAAUUGCUUCACGUUCUAUUACUAUUUAGAUUUGUAAUCCGCAUGUGAUGGCCUUGAUUUCCUUAGUUGAUUUGGUUCUACCAGUUUCUUUCUUACGGUUAGGAAUACAUUUAAUUAUCCCAAAGUCAUUAUUAAUCGAUUUUCAUGUGCAUAAUAAAAAAAGUUGAGGAAAGAGAAUAAAAC